RNAcentral lists this transfer RNA (64 nucleotides) under Athalia icar. RNAcentral's name for it is "tRNA-Thr". The record is from RNAcentral. Lineage: Eukaryota; Metazoa; Arthropoda; Insecta; Hymenoptera; Athaliidae.
GUUUUAAUAGUUUAUAUAAAAUAUUGAUAUUGUAAAUCAAUGAAAAAAAUUUUUUUUUAAAACU